GGUGAAGAACGCAGCGAAAUGCGAUAAGUAGUGUGAAUUGCAGAAUUCAGUGAAUCAUCGAAUCUUUGAACGCACAUUGCGCCCCUUGGUAUUCCAUGGGGCAUGCCUGUUCGAGCGUCAUUUGUACCUUCAAGCUCUGCUUGGUGUUGGGUGUUUGUCUCGCCUCUGCGUGUAGACUCGCCUCAAAACAAUUGGCAGCCGGCGUAUUGAUUUCGGAGCGCAGUACAUCUCGCGCUUUGCACUCAUAACGACGACGUCCAAAAGUACAUUUUUACACUCUUGACCUCGGAUCAGGUAGGGAUACCCGCUGAACUUAAGCAUAUCAAUAAGCGGAGGA
This 337-nucleotide unclassified non-coding RNA is filed under the name soil metagenome. RNAcentral describes it as "partial contains 5.8S ribosomal RNA, internal transcribed spacer 2, and large subunit ribosomal RNA". The stretch from base 3 to 120 matches the Rfam family "5.8S ribosomal RNA", at positions 37 to 154 of the family's 154-position model. The record is from RNAcentral.